RNAcentral lists this ribosomal RNA (329 nucleotides) under uncultured eukaryote. Its description in RNAcentral is "partial 18S ribosomal RNA". It matches the Rfam family "Eukaryotic small subunit ribosomal RNA", at positions 1470 to 1796 of the family's 1831-position model. The record is from RNAcentral.
CCCUUAGAUGUUCUGGGCCGCACGCGCGCUACACUGAUGCAUUCAACGAGUCUAAAACCUGCUCUGAUAGGGGUGGGUAAUCUUUUGAAUGUGCACCGUGAUUGGGAUAGAUGAUUGCAAUUUUUCAUCUUCAACGAGGAAUGCCUAGUAAACGCAAGCCAUCAGCUUGCAUUGAUUACGUCCCUGCCCUUUGUACACACCGCCCGUCGCUCCUACCGAUUGAAUGAUCCGAUGAAUAUCAUGGAUUGAGGAUUAUAGCAGGUUCGCCUGUCUUGAUCUUCGAGAAGUGAAGUAAAUCCUAUCAUUUAGAGGAAGGAGAAGUCGUAACA